Molecule: ribosomal RNA, 355 nt
Filed under: uncultured eukaryote
Lineage: Eukaryota
Description: LSU rRNA
Rfam family: Bacterial large subunit ribosomal RNA
Source: RNAcentral
GGGCUUUGUUUGCGCAGGAUAGGUGGGAGGCGUUGAAAGUUUUCUCGCGGGAAGAUUUGAGCCAUUGGUGAGAUACCACUCUAACAAUGCUAGGAUUCUAACCCUAUGUCGUUAUCCGGCUAGGGGACAGUUUCAGGUGGUCAGUUUGACUGGGGCGGUCGCCUCCUAAAAGGUAACGGAGGCGUGCAAAGGUUCCCUCAGGCUGGUUGGAGAUCAGUCGUAGAGUGUAAAGGCAUAAGGGAGCUUGAUUGUGAGACCUACAAGUCGAACAAAGACGAAAGUCGGCCUUAGUGAUCCGGCGGUACCGAGUGGAAGGGCCGUCGCUCAACGGAUAAAAGUUACUCUAGGGAUAACA